GAAAAAGAAAAAUCAAAACACCUUGACAAGGAGCCGCGAUUUUGGUUUUUCAACUUACAAAAGCUAGCCGCUUAAAAACAGAGCAAAAAGCAGCCCAAUUUUGAAAUCCUUUUGGAGUGUAGAGAGUGAUGCUCACGCGCUGAACUGGGCUGAGCUGAGCCGAGUUAAGUCGCUGAGUGAGUGAGUGAAGUGGCAGGUACGGAUAACAGAGAGAGAAAGGCUAAAGGCCUAAAGCGGUGGCUUGCAUAGAUGGUGAUAAUUAUUGAGGAAUUCAGGGGAGGGGGGCACGGGAUUUAGUUGGUCUUCCACUGGGUCCCGUGGAACCAGCUUUUUUCUCCCCUCAUCUUUCUCGUCUUUGUGGGACCCCUUUUCUUCAAAGCUCGAAUUUCGGGCUCCAGCAGUUCUUUUGUUCUCACUCGAAGACAGGUUUUUUUUCUCCUUUUCCAGGCAAAACAGCCCAAUAGGUAGA
Molecule: long non-coding RNA, 469 nt
Filed under: Theobroma cacao (cacao)
Lineage: Eukaryota; Viridiplantae; Streptophyta; Magnoliopsida; Malvales; Malvaceae
Description: long non-coding RNA (TCAC_LNC002799)
Source: RNAcentral